This 1486-nucleotide long non-coding RNA is filed under the name Homo sapiens (human). RNAcentral describes it as "HSALNT0119758". The record is from RNAcentral. Lineage: Eukaryota; Metazoa; Chordata; Mammalia; Primates; Hominidae.
CACCUGUGACUUUAGGUGUGUUACUUAAUCCUGAGUCUCAGUUUCCUUAUCUCCAAAAACCUUCCUUGCAAAUUUGUUUUGAAGAUUAGACACAAUAUUUAUUUAAAGUGCCUGGCACACAGUAGAUACUUAAUAACAGCAAUUUUGACAAUAAUUAGGAGAAUAUAAUUCAAGCCAUAGAAUGUUCCAGCAGGAAGGAUCUAUGAGAUCACCUAGUCCACGCCCAAUUUUACUGAUGGAGUCCAGAGGUGGUAGGGAAUUUACCCAAGAUCACAAGGCUGGUUUGGCAGAACCAGAAUUCGAGUGUGGGCUCCCAAUCUCCCCUCCUGUGUUCUUUUCUUUCUACCAAACAGGACCAAAAUACCUUGCAUUGAAAGUGGGGAGAUGCUUUAACCUAUUUAUGAUUUGCCACUUUGGUGGGCUCUGAGGUAUGAAUCUUAGCUGGAAUGGCUUUGAGGAAUCCUAGCCAUUGAGUUUACAUAACCAAAAAGUACUGCAACUGCUCUGAGAAGCUGAACAUGCCUUUCAGGUGGCACUUUUCUAGUCCUUCCAAAGCCCGGGGGACAAAAAGGAGCUUCACAGACCUAAUUUUUUGGAAAGGGAAAAGGAAGCCCUGAGAAGCAAUAACCCUCAGCUCAUGCCAAAGGUGGGCAUGGAUUUCAGACCCAUUCUGCAUUUUCCAGAAAGGAAAGGAACUUCCUGACACCAGCAAAGGAUAAAUACAGAAGUCAGUCUAGUCGGCCCCGUUGGCCUCAAAUCUACAGUGCUCUAGAACCCAGCAAAGACCUCCUAAUGCAGGCAGCCCCCGGCCACACGCAGGGGCAAGGGGAACGCAUGCGCACCGGGCCCUUCAACCCCAUCGCCAAGCCUACCCACCUCCUUUCUCAGGGCUGAGAUGCCGUCGAGGAUGUACCGAAUUUGUUUGUCAAUUCGUUCUGAAGAGCCCCCCAAGCCUGGGAUUAUGAAGAAGGUAAUACUACCAGUCAUCUGAGUUCUUCUGUGUUCUGGCUCUCCCUGUGAGCGGCUGUUGUAGAACUGCCUGGCCAUCCUCAAAUUUCGUGCAGUUACUUCAAGGCGUCUCCAGGUGGAGUGUGUGACUCCUUUUUGCCACCGCGUGGCUUCUGCCACUUUCUUCACCUGCUUCAGCCCACUUAGAGGAGGUUGGCUGCUGCCCUGCCCUCUCCCAAGUGACCCCUUGGGAAUCCUCCCAGUGAGGACUUUGCUCUCUGUGCCAGAGGUUUGCCUUGUGCUGCCAGUGCUCUCCCCAUUGCCACUGAGUCUCUUCACCACUGUUUCACUGGGGCACCUGCAUGGGCCCCAGGUCUCCUGGAGCCCUGAAAUUACUGAAGCCCACUUGGUUCAGGGCAGAAAGGGGGAGAAUACUACUCACCUCUUUGUUGGGGAUGUCAAAGGAGGACCUUGUGGCAUCUUGCAGAGUUUGUGUUUAUCGCUCCCUCUCCCUGUAAGUCUUGAUUUGAAAUCAAAA